This is a transfer RNA of 93 nucleotides. It matches the Rfam family "tRNA". From Rfam's summary of the family: Transfer RNA (tRNA) molecules are approximately 80 nucleotides in length. The record is from Rfam.
GGCACUUUGGCCGAGUGGUUAAGGCGAAAGACUUGAAUUAUUCAGGGUAUCUUUUGGGAUUUUCCCGCGCAGGUUCGAGUCCUGCAGGUGUCG